UAAAACCAGCACCCCGAGUGGUCGGGACGAUUAUUGGGCCUGAAGCAUCCGUAGCCGGUUCUACAAGUCUUCCGUUAAAUCCACCUGCUCAACAGAUGGGCUGCGGAGGAUACUAUAGAGCUAGGAGGCGGGAGAGGCAAGCGGUACUCGAUGGGUAGGGGUAAAAUCCGUUGAUCCAUUGAAGACCACCAGUGGCGAAGGCGG
This 204-nucleotide ribosomal RNA is filed under the name uncultured bacterium. Its description in RNAcentral is "partial 16S ribosomal RNA". It matches the Rfam family "Archaeal small subunit ribosomal RNA", at positions 471 to 675 of the family's 1478-position model. The record is from RNAcentral.